This 172-nucleotide non-coding RNA is filed under the name Paraglaciecola arctica BSs20135. RNAcentral's name for it is "Glaciecola sp. BSs20135 Molybdenum/Tungsten riboswitch aptamer (Moco RNA motif)". It matches the Rfam family "Molybdenum/Tungsten riboswitch aptamer (Moco RNA motif)". Lineage: Bacteria; Pseudomonadati; Pseudomonadota; Gammaproteobacteria; Alteromonadales; Alteromonadaceae. The record is from Rfam by way of RNAcentral. RNAcentral also lists the same sequence under 1 other name.
AUGCGAAUGUAACUCCGAGCUAUCUCACCUAAAUCUACGACAAGGUGUUUUAGCCGUGAAUUAGGCAAUGGUGUCAAAUUCGCCAGGGUUGUAAGAGAAAUCGAGCUGCCUCCCGCAAGUACCACAAUUUUUGUGGCACUUCACUUUGGAAAGGUGUUAAACAAUAUGUUAG